UUUUUUUUUUCCUUCCUUUUUCCUUGACUACUCACUACAAAUCUAUUGAAUUAUUCGUUGCACAUAUAUAGUACGUACGUAGCUAUGAUGAUAUAGGUAAAUGUAAAUUGGACUCGUGCGUAGACAACUUUUUUUUUUUUUAACAAUGAUCAUCAAGUGCUGAUCUUUUAAGAAUGUUGUAUUCAGAAACUCUAGCUACGAACAUGCAUCUAUAUAUGUAUACAAUUGCCUGUCUAAGUAUUAAUUAAUAUGUGUGUCUAUGUUUAUAUUAACUAUUAUAGAUCGAGGCUAUGCUAAUUAAACUUACGAUCAUUUAAUUUAUUUAAGGUGCAUACAAAUUAUAUUUUUAAUCUACACAUGCAAACCAUUUUUUAAAAAGAGUAAUAUUUAUACACAAAAGAGGAUAGUGUUUUUUUUUUGAUUUUUUUUUGGGAUUGAUGAAAAUAACUUUAUAGAUGAUCAGGAACGAUUGCUUGAUGCUUGGUAACAAGAUUUUUGUGUAUCCUAUCUGUUCGAGAAUUUCUAAAUAUACUCAUACACUAUAUAAUGUGGAUAUACUUUCUAGUUUUUGCCCAUAUAUUACUG
This 585-nucleotide long non-coding RNA is filed under the name Capsella rubella. Its description in RNAcentral is "long non-coding RNA (CRUB_LNC004535)". Lineage: Eukaryota; Viridiplantae; Streptophyta; Magnoliopsida; Brassicales; Brassicaceae. The record is from RNAcentral.